RNAcentral lists this ribosomal RNA (494 nucleotides) under uncultured bacterium. RNAcentral describes it as "partial 16S ribosomal RNA". It matches the Rfam family "Bacterial small subunit ribosomal RNA", at positions 28 to 507 of the family's 1533-position model. The record is from RNAcentral.
GACGAACGCUGGCGGCGUGCUUAACACAUGCAAGUCGAACGGUGAAGCGCCUUCCUUUUUGGUGGGUGUGGAUGGGUGGCGGACGGGUGAGUAACACGUGAGUAACCUGCCCCCUUCUUCUGGAUAACCGCAUGAAAGUGUGGCUAAUACGGGAUAUUCUGGGUCUGUCGCAUGAUGGGUCUUUGAAAGAUAUUGUUUCGGUGGGGGAUGGGCUCGCGGCCUAUCAGCUUGUUGGUGGGGUGAUGGCCUACCAAGGCGGUGACGGGUAGCCGGCCUGAGAGGGUCAGCGGUACCACUGGGACUGAGAGACGGACCAGACUCCUACGGGAGGCAGCGGUGGGGAAUAUUGCACGAGGGGAGCAAGCAUGAUGCAACGACGCGGGGGGAGGGAUGGAGGUCGUCGGGUUGUGAACCUCUUUCGCCAGUGAAGCAGGCCUGCCUCGUUUGUGGGUGGGUUGACGGUAGCUGGAUAAGAAGCGCCGGCUAACUACGUG